RNAcentral lists this long non-coding RNA (287 nucleotides) under Panax ginseng (ginseng). Its description in RNAcentral is "long non-coding RNA (PGIN_LNC006647)". Lineage: Eukaryota; Viridiplantae; Streptophyta; Magnoliopsida; Apiales; Araliaceae. The record is from RNAcentral.
UGAUUAAUGUGGUUAAUUAUGGGUAAAAUGCACAAAUAUUUUAAAUAAGCAGGUGGUUAUAAAAUAUUCAUUAUUGUCGGGGAAUAUUCGUUUGGUCGUGGAAUAUUCGUACUGUCGGGGAAUAUUCGUACGACGGCGCAGCCAUGUGUGGGCCCCAUAACGGAAAGCGAUUGGAGGAAGAAAACAAAAAAAAUAAGUUGUUUAAAAUAACGGCGUAGUUGUUUCCGUUUACACUGUUGGAAUACCCGGUGGUUAAAACACAGUAAUACGCGUUGUUGCACAGUAGC